GGGCCGGUGGUGGAAUUGGUAGACACGCUAGACUUAGGAUCUAGUGCCGCGAGGUGUGAAGGUUCAAGUCCUUUCCGGCCUACCA
RNAcentral lists this transfer RNA (85 nucleotides) under Candidatus Pelagibacteraceae bacterium. RNAcentral's name for it is "tRNA-Leu". It matches the Rfam family "tRNA". Rfam says of the family: Transfer RNA (tRNA) molecules are approximately 80 nucleotides in length. Lineage: Bacteria; Pseudomonadati; Pseudomonadota; Alphaproteobacteria; Candidatus Pelagibacterales; Candidatus Pelagibacteraceae. The record is from RNAcentral.